UAAAAAGUUUGCUAGGGUUCCGCACGCAGUGGUCUGGUCAAAGAGCAAACGCGUGCCUCGCACGUACACGGAAGGAUAAAAGCCUGGGAGUU
Molecule: small RNA, 92 nt
Filed under: Weissella confusa
Lineage: Bacteria; Bacillati; Bacillota; Bacilli; Lactobacillales; Lactobacillaceae
Description: Guanidine-I sequence
Rfam family: Guanidine-I riboswitch aptamer
About the family: This family represents a conserved RNA structure found upstream of the ykkC and yxkD genes in Bacillus subtilis and related genes in other bacteria.
Source: RNAcentral